Molecule: ribosomal RNA, 253 nt
Filed under: uncultured bacterium
Lineage: Bacteria
Description: partial 16S ribosomal RNA
Rfam family: Bacterial small subunit ribosomal RNA
Source: RNAcentral
UACAGAGGGUGCAAGCGUUAAUCGGAAUUACUGGGCGUAAAGGGCGCGUAGGUGGUUGGCUAAGUCAGAUGUGAAAACCCUGGGCUUAACUUAGGAAUUGCAUUUGAAACUGGUCGACUAGAGUUUGGGAGAGGGAAGUGGAAUUUCAGGUGUAGCGGUGAAAUGCGUAGAUAUCUGAAGGAACAUCAGUGGCGAAGGCGACUUCCUGGCCCGAUACUGACACUGAGGCGCGAAAGCGUGGGGAGCGAACAGG